RNAcentral lists this transfer RNA (58 nucleotides) under Weissia brachycarpa var. brachycarpa. RNAcentral describes it as "partial tRNA-Phe". It matches the Rfam family "tRNA", at positions 1 to 56 of the family's 71-position model. From Rfam's summary of the family: Transfer RNA (tRNA) molecules are approximately 80 nucleotides in length. Their secondary structure includes four short double-helical elements and three loops (D, anti-codon, and T loops). Lineage: Eukaryota; Viridiplantae; Streptophyta; Bryopsida; Pottiales; Pottiaceae. The record is from RNAcentral.
GCCGGAAUAGCUCAGAGGUCAGAGCAGAGGACUGAAAAUCCUCGYGUCACCAGUUCAA